AUUUGGUCGUAGACCCGAAACCAGGUGAUCUACCCUUGGUCAGGUUGAAGUUCAGGUAACACUGAAUGGAGGACCGAACCGACUUACGUUGAAAAGUGAGCGGAUGAACUGAGGGUAGCGGAGAAAUUCCAAUCGAACCUGGAGAUAGCUGGUUCUCUCCGAAAUAGCUUUAGGGCUAGCCUCAAGUGAUGAUUAUUGGAGGUAGAGCACUGUUUGGACGAGGGGCCCCUCUCGGGUUACCGAAUUCAGACAAACUCCGAAUGCCAAUUAAUUUAACUUGGGAGUCAGAACAUGGGUGAUAAGGUCCGUGUUCGAAAGGGAAACAGCCCAGACCACCAGCUAAGGUCCCAAAAUAUAUGUUAAGUGGAAAAGGAUGUGGCGUUGCCCAGACAACUAGGAUGUUGGCUUAGAAGCAGCCAUCAUUUAAAGAGUGCGUAAUAGCUCACUAGUCGAGUGACACUGCGCCGAAAAUGUAC
RNAcentral lists this ribosomal RNA (476 nucleotides) under Staphylococcus aureus. Its description in RNAcentral is "partial 23S ribosomal RNA". It matches the Rfam family "Bacterial large subunit ribosomal RNA", at positions 701 to 1175 of the family's 2925-position model. The record is from RNAcentral. Lineage: Bacteria; Bacillati; Bacillota; Bacilli; Caryophanales; Staphylococcaceae.